RNAcentral lists this ribosomal RNA (404 nucleotides) under Bacillota bacterium. RNAcentral's name for it is "Firmicutes bacterium partial 16S ribosomal RNA". It matches the Rfam family "Bacterial small subunit ribosomal RNA", at positions 355 to 776 of the family's 1533-position model. The record is from RNAcentral. Lineage: Bacteria; Bacillati; Bacillota.
UGGGGAAUAUUGGACAAUGGGCGCAAGCCUGAUCCAGCCAUGCCGCGUGAGUGAUGAAGGCCUUAGGGUUGUAAAGCUCUUUUGUCCGGGACGAUAAUGACGGUACCGGAAGAAUAAGCCCCGGCUAACUUCGUGCCAGCAGCCGCGGUAAUACGAAGGGGGCUAGCGUUGCUCGGAAUCACUGGGCGUAAAGGGCGCGUAGGCGGCCGUUUAAGUCGGGGGUGAAAGCCUGUGGCUCAACCACAGAAUUGCCUUCGAUACUGGACGGCUUGAGUAUGGUAGAGGUUGGUGGAACUGCGAGUGUAGAGGUGAAAUUCGUAGAUAUUCGCAAGAACACCAGUGGCGAAGGCGGCCAACUGGACCAUUACUGACGCUGAGGCGCGAAAGCGUGGGGAGCAAACAGG